Molecule: ribosomal RNA, 437 nt
Filed under: uncultured bacterium
Lineage: Bacteria
Description: partial 16S ribosomal RNA
Rfam family: Bacterial small subunit ribosomal RNA
Source: RNAcentral
GAUGAACGCUGGCGGCAUGCCUAACACAUGCAAGUCGGACGGACAGUGGUGUUGCCAGUGGCGGUCGGGUGAGCAACGCGUAAGAACCUGCCCCGGGGAGGGGCACACCAGCUGGAAAGGGCAGCUAAGAGCCCGCAGACCUAGUAGCAAAAGGCGGACUGCGCCGGAUGGUGGACACGGGUCUGACUGACUUGUUGGUGCAGCAAUAGCUGACCAAGGCGAUGAUCAGUAGAUGGUAGGAGAGGACGAUCAUCCAGACUGGUACGGAGACACGGCGCAGACUACUACGGGCGGCAGGAGUGGGGAAUACGCCGCAAUGGGCGAAAGCCUGUGAGGGCCAUGCCGUGUGGAAGUAGAGUGCUUAGGGGUCGAGAACUUCUUUUCCCGGUGAAGAAGUAAUGACGGUAUCUGGUGAAUAAGCAACGGCUAACUCUGUG